AAUCUUGGACAAUGGGGGAAACCCUGAUCCAGCCAUCCCGCGUGCGCGAUGAAGGCCUUCGGCUUGUAAAGCACUUUUGGCAGGGAGGAAGAGGCUCGCGCUAAUACCUGGCGCUGCUGACGGUACCUGCAGAAUAAGCACCGGCUAACUACGUGCCAGUAUCCGCGGUAAUACGUAGGGUGCAAGCGUUAAUCGGAAUCACUGGGCGUAAAGCGUGCGCAGGCGGUUCGUCAAGAAGGAUGUGAAAUCCCAGGGCUUAACCUGGGAACUGCAUUCAUAACUGCCAAGCUAGAGUAUGUCAGAGGGGGGUAGAAUUUCGCGUGUAGCAGUGAAAUGCGUAGAGAUACGGAGGAAUACCGAUGGCGAAGGCGGCCACCUGGGAUAAUACUGACACUCAGGCACGAAAGCGUGGGGAGCAAAC
Molecule: ribosomal RNA, 421 nt
Filed under: uncultured bacterium
Lineage: Bacteria
Description: partial 16S ribosomal RNA
Rfam family: Bacterial small subunit ribosomal RNA
Source: RNAcentral